UACGUAGGGUGCAAGGCGUUGUCCGGAAUUAUUGGGCGUAAAGAGCUUGUAGGCGGUUUGUCGCGUCUGCUGUGAAAUUUCGGGGCUCAACCCCGAACUUGCAGUGGGGUACGGGGCAGGACUAGAGUGUGGUAGGGGAGACUGGAAUUCCUGGUGUAGCGGUGAAAUGCGCAGAUAUCAGGAGGAACACCGAUGGCGAAGGCAGGUCUCUGGGCCACUACUGACUGGAGAACGAAAGCUGGGGAGCGAACGGG
This 254-nucleotide ribosomal RNA is filed under the name uncultured bacterium. RNAcentral's name for it is "partial 16S ribosomal RNA". It matches the Rfam family "Bacterial small subunit ribosomal RNA", at positions 524 to 776 of the family's 1533-position model. The record is from RNAcentral.